CAAAGAACUAAAGCAGAUUUUGGGGUGGUUUUGUUUUUAUGUAAACUGGACACACAGAAUACAAUAGUAAAUUUGUUUUCGCAAGUGUUUCUCCCUGAUGUAAACACAGAGGUAAAAGAUUUAUGUUAGAAGUAAAGGACUAAGGGUACAUGCAGAGUUGUUAAAAGUCCUGUGGUUGUACUGACUCAGUGUUGGAAGGAAAGCAUCUGCUUUAUCAGAGAAUAAAGACUUGUGGUCUUGCAUUGGAAAGAUGUUUUGGAGACACUGUUUUCCUGGAUAAAAGUCACUCUACUAUGUAAAAUAAUGAACAAGUUGGGAUCCUAAUUAUUUUGUGUGCCGUACUGGGUACAGUCCCUGCCUCUUUUUCUAGUCAGGUGGUGGAGUAGGGUAGGGGGAUGGAGGAAGUCAGAGAAGUAGGAAGACAAGCCUUCUCUAGUCAGCCCCCAACCAAAGACUGGAAAGAAGAGAAACGAUUGUCUGCCAUCAGAAGUUCAGUUUGUAUGUAUUCUGUGCACAUGCACCAACACACACAGAGUAAAUCUUUAAUCAGCUAUAUACUGGUGUUUAAAACAGAGAACGAUUGUCUUCCAAGUUUAUGGUUCUUUUUUUAAAAACUGUGUUAAGUACUUGAAAUGUGUUGACUGCUGACUAUCUUUCAAAAACAAAAACAAAACCGUUUGAGUUGUAUUACAGAGGUUGACAUUGUGCAGGGAUGGGACAAAGCUUUCUUCAAUCCUUUUUAUACCACUUCAUGAUUUUGGUACAGGAACUUAAGAUGUUCUUGUUUAUUCCAUGAGAUUUCACUUCUACUCUUCACAGUAUGAGCAUGAAGCCCAGUGGCACCAAGUGGCUGAAUACAAUUGAAUGAUAUUUUGCUUGGGCCUUGGGAGUUUUCAGAUGAUGAUUUCAUUGAGCUUCAUUGUAGCCUGAAAUAAAGAAGUUGUGUGAUAUAUGCUAACCAGUCAAGUUGCUUUUUGACCAGAAAUUUAGAUAUGUUCUAUUUUUUGGCUCAUUUCUUUGUGCUCUAUGGGUACAUACAAAAAUCCUGAAUUCUGUUCUUAAGCAAAUAUUGCAACUCAGGGCUAAAGUCAUCCAGUGAAACUUUUAGAGCCAGAAGUAACUUUGUCCCAAUCCUACAAUGUGAAAAGAAUGAAUAGUUGCCUCUUUUUAGCCAUUUUCAUGGCUGGUACAUAUCCGUACACAUUACUUUUCAGAAUCAAUACGCACUUUCAGAUAUUCUUAUUUUUAUUCUCUUAAGUCUUUAUUAACUUUGGAGAAAUGAUGCAUCUUUUUAUUUUAAAUGAAGUAGAUCAACAUGGUGGAACAAAAUGAUAUAGAACAGAAAACAUUUCAAUAUAUUACUAAUAAUUUUUUUCCAAUAUAAAACCUAAAAUUCCUAUAACAUUAUAGUAUUUUACAGUUUUAUGAAGCUUUCUAUUGUGACUUUUAUGGAAUUAAGAGAUGAAGAAGAUGAGAUAUUUUAGCAUUUAUAUUUUUCAAAAUUAAAUGUAUACUUAAAAUAAAGUAACUUUAUGCAUUAUG
Molecule: long non-coding RNA, 1542 nt
Filed under: Bos taurus (domestic cattle)
Lineage: Eukaryota; Metazoa; Chordata; Mammalia; Artiodactyla; Bovidae
Description: long non-coding RNA NONBTAT022552
Source: RNAcentral